UACGGAGGGUGCAAGCGUUAUCCGGAUUCACUGGGUUUAAAGGGUGCGUAGGAGGGCAGGUAGGUCAGUGGUGAAAUCUCCAAGCUUAACUUGGAAACUGCCGUUGAUACUAUCUGUCUUGAAUAUUGUGGAGGUGAGCGGAAUAUGUCAUGUAGCGGUGAAAUGCUUAGAUAUGACAUAGAACACCAAUUGCGAAGGCAGCUCGCUACUCAAUUAUUGACUCUGAGGCACGAAAGCGUGGGGAUCAAACAGG
Molecule: ribosomal RNA, 253 nt
Filed under: uncultured bacterium
Lineage: Bacteria
Description: partial 16S ribosomal RNA
Rfam family: Bacterial small subunit ribosomal RNA
Source: RNAcentral